RNAcentral lists this long non-coding RNA (1317 nucleotides) under Felis catus (domestic cat). RNAcentral describes it as "lncRNA (ENSFCAG00000049537.1)". Lineage: Eukaryota; Metazoa; Chordata; Mammalia; Carnivora; Felidae. The record is from RNAcentral.
AUGACCCAGGCUCAGUUACCACAGCCUCCCCCCCCCCCCCCCCCCCCCCCCCCCCCCCCCCCCCCCCCCCCCCCCCCCCCCCCCCCCCCCCCCCCCCCCCCCCCCCCCCCCCCCCCCCCCCCCCCCCCCCCCCCCCCCCCCCCCCCCCCCCCCCCCCCCCCCCCCCCCCCCCCCCCCCCCCCCCCCCCCCCCCCCCCCCCCCCCCCCCCCCCCCCCCCCCCCCCCCCCCCCCCCCCCCCCCCCCCCCCCCCCCCCCCCCCCCCCCCCCCCCCCCCCCCCCCCCCCCCCCCCCCCCCCCCCCCCCCCCCCCCCCCCCCCCCCCCCCCCCCCCCCCCCCCCCCCCCCCCCCCCCCCCCCCCCCCCCCCCCCCCCCCCCCCCCCCCCCCCCCCCCCCCCCCCCCCCCCCCCCCCCCCCCCCCCCCCCCCCCCCCCCCCCCCCCCCCCCCCCCCCCCCCCCCCCCCCCCCCCCCCCCCCCCCCCCCCCCCCCCCCCCCCCCCCCCCCCCCCCCCCCCCCCCCCCCCCCCCCCCCCCCCCCCCCCCCCCCCCCCCCCCCCCCCCCCCCCCCCCCCCCCCCCCCCCCCCCCCCCCCCCCCCCCCCCCCCCCCCCCCCCCCCCCCCCCCCCCCCCCCCCCCCCCCCCCCCCCCCCCCCCCCCCCCCCCCCCCCCCCCCCCCCCCCCCCCCCCCCCCCCCCCCCCCCCCCCCCCCCCCCCCCCCCCCCCCCCCCCCCCCCCCCCCCCCCCCCCCCCCCCCCCCCCCCCCCCCCCCCCCCCCCCCCCCCCCCCCCCCCCCCCCCCCCCCCCCCCCCCCCCCCCCCCCCCCCCCCCCCCCCCCCCCCCCCCCCCCCCCCCCCCCCCCCCCCCCCCCCCCCCCCCCCCCCCCCCCCCCCCCCCCCCCCCCCCCCCCCCCCCCCCCCCCCCCCCCCCCCCCCCCCCCCCCCCCCCCCCCCCCCCCCCCCCCCCCCCCCCCCCCCCCCCCCCCCCCCCCCCCCCCCCCCCCCCCCCCCCCCCCCCCCCCCCCCCCCCCCCCCCCCCCCCCCCCCCCCCCCCCCCCCCCCCCCCCCCCCCCCCCCCCCCCCCCCCCCCCCCCCCCCCCCCCCCCCCCCCCCCCCCCCCCCCCCCCCCCCCCCCCCCCCCCCCCCCCCCCCCCCCCCCCCCCCCCCCCCCCCCCCCCCCCCCCCCCCCCCCCCCCCCCUCUUUAUUCAUUCAUUCAUUCAUUCAUUCAUUCAUUCAUUCAUUCAUUCAUUCAUUCAUUCAUUCAUUCAUUCAUUCAUUCAUUCAUUCAUUCAUUCAUUCAUUCAUUCAUUCAUUCAUUCAUU